GUGAACGCUGGCGGUAGGCCUAACACAUGCAAGUCGAACGGCAGCACAGUAAGCGCUUGCUCUUACGGGUGGCGAGUGGCGGACGGGUGAGGAAUACAUCGGAAUCUACUUUUUCGUGGGGGAUAACGUAGGGAAACUUACGCUAAUACCGCAUACGACCUACGGGUGAAAGCAGGGGAUCUUCGGACCUUGCGCGAUUGAAUGAGCCGAUGUCGGAUUAGCUAGUUGGCGGGGUAAAGGCCCACCAAGGCGACGAUCCGUAGCUGGUCUGAGAGGAUGAUCAGCCACACUGGAACUGAGACACGGUCCAGACUCCUACGGGAGGCAGCAGUGGGGAAUAUUGGACAAUGGGCGCAAGCCUGAUCCAGCCAUACCGCGUGGGUGAAGAAGGCCUUCGGGUUGUAAAGCCCUUUUGUUGGGAAAGAAAAGCAGCAGGUUAAUACCCCGCUGUUCUGACGGUACCCAAAGAAUAAGCACCGGCUAACUUCGUG
This 491-nucleotide ribosomal RNA is filed under the name uncultured bacterium. Its description in RNAcentral is "partial 16S ribosomal RNA". It matches the Rfam family "Bacterial small subunit ribosomal RNA", at positions 29 to 507 of the family's 1533-position model. The record is from RNAcentral.